Molecule: signal recognition particle RNA, 260 nt
Filed under: Desulfobacteraceae bacterium
Lineage: Bacteria; Pseudomonadati; Thermodesulfobacteriota; Desulfobacteria; Desulfobacterales; Desulfobacteraceae
Description: signal recognition particle sRNA large type
Rfam family: Bacterial large signal recognition particle RNA
About the family: The signal recognition particle (SRP) is a universally conserved ribonucleoprotein involved in the co-translational targeting of proteins to membranes. Archaeal SRP consists of a 7S RNA and homologues of the eukaryotic SRP19 and SRP54 proteins.
Source: RNAcentral
UCGUGCUAGGCGGGGAGUUAGCGGUGCCCUGUACCCGAAAUCCGCUUACGCGGGGCUGAAUUUCCUCUUGAGGGCUUGAAAUAUCCAUGGCGAUUACCUCUCCUGAAUUCGGGAUUGGACGUUACGCAACAGACGAUUAUGAACCCCGUCAGGUCCGGGAGGAAGCAGCGGUAAAUAAUGCGGUUUGUGUCGUAACUGCUUCUAAUCUUUGGCUUCAGGAAGGGGACACCCUGGCUGUUGGCUCGAGAGAGGAUGCACGG